AACGCGAAGAACCUUACCUGGGUUUAAAUUGCAUGGGACAGCUACAGAAACGUAGUUUCUCUUCGGAGCCCAUGUGAAGGUGCUGCAUGGCUGUCGUCAGCUCGUGUCGUGCGAUGUUGGGUUAAGUCCCGCAACGAGCGCAACCCUUGCCCUAUGUUGCCAGCGAGUCAUGUCGGGGACUCAUGGGGGACUGCCGGUGAUAAACCGGAGGAAGGUGGGGACGACGUCAAGUCAUCUUGGCCCUUACGUCUGGGGCUACACACGUGCUACAAUGGCCAACACAAAGGGCUGCAAACCAGCGAUGGUAAGCGAAUCCCAAAAAGUUGGUCUAAGUUCGGAUCGUAGUCUGCAACUCGACUGCGUGAAGUCGGAAUCGCUAGUAAUCGUAGAUCAGCCAUGCUACGGUGAAUACGUUCCCGGGCCUUGUACACACCGCCCGUCACGCCAUGGAAGCUGGAAGUGCCCGAAGUCUGUGACCCAACCUUAGGGAGGGAGCAGCCGAAGGCAAGUUCGGUAACUAGGGCGAAGUCGUAACAAGGUAGCCGUAGGGGAACCUGCGGCUGGAUCACCUCCUUUCUGGA
Molecule: ribosomal RNA, 581 nt
Filed under: Gemmatimonadales bacterium
Lineage: Bacteria; Pseudomonadati; Gemmatimonadota; Gemmatimonadia; Gemmatimonadales
Description: bacterial SSU rRNA
Rfam family: Bacterial small subunit ribosomal RNA
Source: RNAcentral